Molecule: ribosomal RNA, 392 nt
Filed under: uncultured bacterium
Lineage: Bacteria
Description: partial 16S ribosomal RNA
Rfam family: Bacterial small subunit ribosomal RNA
Source: RNAcentral
AUACGGAGGAUCCGAGCGUUAUCCGGAUUUAUUGGGUUUAAAGGGUGCGCAGGCGGCCAUUUAAGUCAGCGGUUAAAUCGUGGGGCUCAACCCCAUUCUGCCGUUGAUACUGGGUGGCUUGAUUGCGGUCGAGGUUGGCGGAAUUCGUUGUGUAGCGGUGAAAUGCAUAGAUAUGACGAAGAACACCGAUUGCGUAGGCAGCUGACCAGACCGCAAAUGACGCUCAUGCACGAAAGUGCGGGGAUCGAACAGGAUUAGAUACCCUGGUAGUCCGCACAGUAAACGAUGAAUACUUGUUUUCGGCGAUAAAAUGUCGGAGGCAAAGCGAAAGCGAUAAGUAUUCCACCUGGGGAGUACGCCGGCAACGGUGAAACUCAAAGGAAUUGACGGGG